AUUGUCUCUGUGUAAACUACAGGAAAAAAAUAAAAAAUAAAAAUAAAAAAAUAAAUAAAAACCAGUGAAAACAGUGAUGUCAUGCACAUACAUAUUCAGUCUAUAGGCAUGGGUGCAGAUGUGUAGUGAUUCUUUAAAAACUGACAUCAGCAACUACUGGCAUGGCAUGCACAGCACAGCUUUUGUUUAUCUAUAUGUGAAACUUUUCGACACCACACUAUAUUUUCUUUUUUGGUUUUUAGUACAUCAUUGUCAUGUAAAUGUACCUUAGGUCCAUCCCUAACUCCUCCUUAUGCUGGCGGAUGAUCAUUUAUCUGCAUGUCCAAAGAGGUACAGCAUAUCUCUCUAUCCAGCUCAUUGUUGCUCAGUCUUCUCCAAACUAAUUACAGUGUUGUAUUGAUAACACAUGGAAUUAUAUGUAACUGCUGCUUAUAAAAUUACUGGUUAAUUGCCUUAAGAUUCAGGGGUUCAAUCCUCUGCUGCCAAAUAGCUAGUGUUCAAAAACCUAAAGCCAUGGAGGAGACAGGAGGGACUUAAAGCAGGUGGAGCCAGGUAGGACCCAGGCCACAGCUGUGAAGGCGGCCCACGGUGGAGAAAAAGGAGGGAGGAGCUAUGGUUUGGGGAGAGCUGAUGAUUCCAGGGGGUUGACCAAUGUCUAUGGAGCAGGUGGUGGAGGAGCGUGAGGCAGAGAUGGAGAGCCCAUGAGCCAGGGUGACGAGGAGGAUCCGGAGGGCCAAGGCGGAGCAGAUGGCUCAGGCAACCGAGGCAGAGGCUGGGAUCCAGAAGGCCGUGGCGGAGCUGGAGCGACAGAGGACCAUGGAGGAGCCGAUGGGAAGUCAGCAUUUUGCCUCCAUCAGUGAGCAGUGCUUGAUGUGCAGCAUUUGAACUUUGCUCUAAAUACCAACAUCUUCCACCGUCGCUGACCUUGGUUUGUAUGAUAUUUGAACAAACUGGAAGGCUGGCAUGGGAAAGGGUAAGAUUCAAGUUCCAUUGGAUGAAACUGCACCUGCUGUUAUCUCCACUCGCUGGACAUUUUGCUUGGUGGAGCUUAGUGAAUAGUUUUUUUUCAAGAUCAAAUGGAUGGAUUGUGGACUGUGGAUCAAGAAAGAAACUCAAACAGUUUUGAAACAACUUGAGGGUG
Molecule: long non-coding RNA, 1141 nt
Organism: Cyprinus carpio carpio
Lineage: Eukaryota; Metazoa; Chordata; Actinopteri; Cypriniformes; Cyprinidae
Source: Ensembl